AUCUAUGGCCAUACCACCCUGAAUGUGCCCGAUCUCAUCUGAUCUUGGAAACUAAGCAGAGUCAGGCUUGGUUAAAAUUGGAUGGGAGAAUAUUAUAUACAUAUUAAAUGGUAAACU
RNAcentral lists this ribosomal RNA (117 nucleotides) under Microcebus murinus (gray mouse lemur). Lineage: Eukaryota; Metazoa; Chordata; Mammalia; Primates; Cheirogaleidae. The record is from RNAcentral.